Molecule: long non-coding RNA, 6069 nt
Organism: Corvus hawaiiensis (hawaiian crow)
Lineage: Eukaryota; Metazoa; Chordata; Aves; Passeriformes; Corvidae
Exons: 2
Source: RefSeq, a predicted model, not a curated record
UGCUCCAGUUGUACAAACCACAGCUCACAGCAUGCCUGGCCAGGCACGGGAAAAGUACAGGGGGUUGUAAACGCCAAGCUGAUGAAAUCUGCGUGAGCUGUUAAAUGUUCAAACAGCAAAACCCAUUUUAGCUUUUUAUUUUCUUCAGAAUGGCUCUGGAGAGCACCUCCGAGGUGUGUCCCAGUUCCUGAGAGCAGACGGCUGAGGGGGAGGAGGAGGGAGAAGCACGGCUCUUAUGCAGGUAAGGGCUUGAAUGCCAUCGGUGACGCCAGCAGAAAUCCCUGGGAUGCAGCGACGGAGAGGGAGGUGGGAACCUCUGGAAUUAGCUUCUUGGGAUGCUGCUGCUGUCUGCACACAUUGACGCUGCUGUAGAGCCACAUGGGUUGUGAGGAUCACAUAAAACCAGGUGUUUGCAAGCAGCACAGAAACACGGGUCACCGUCAUCGAGGUUCCGAGCAAACACCACGCAGGGGAUGAAGGAGGCAGUUCACACGGCUCAAAGAAUGGUGAAAGAAAUUACUUUCAGGCUUUGCAACAGUUUCAGAAAGGUGAAAAUGAAUCUGCGCCUCGCCCCAGCCGUGUGCUGUGAGCCGACACCUUUAACGAUGUGCUUUUACUCCUGCCGUAGUUGCAGCUGAGGCCCCUCCACAGCCCCCUGUGCGUGAAUCCUGCGCUCAGGUCCGCGUGGGAGAGCAGUUGACACCUUAGAGGAAUGAAACAGCUCUGCUGGGAUUGCUGGCAGGGGAGGGAGCCUUGUGCUUUUACAGGCGUUGUAAAUUUGAUGAUGGCCCUGGCCAGAAGUGAGAAGAGGAUCCCUGCCUUGUUUCCAAUGGCAGCUUUCACCUCAUGGCCAUUAACCCUCCUUCCACCCUCAGCACGUUCUGCAGGAGCCCCUGCGUGCUCCUCAUGCAGUGCUUGGAGGCUGACGAAAACCGAGCCCUCAAUGCACAGCCCUGCUGAUGGUUCUGCAGACACCCCGUCUUGUUGCAGGGCACCACCUGAGCUCCUGGAGACAUGGGAUUAUCUGCUCUGACCUCCUCCCUGCUUCAGAACUGGUCUUUCAAGAAGUUUAUUUGGGUAAUAGUCGCUUUUCAGCUGCUGUUUCCUUGGGUAAUGGUCCCUUUUGGUUUGUUGCAGCCUCUCACAUUGCCCCAGAGUUUCCACCCAGCAGCUGUUUGGUUGCUCUGAGAGCUGUUUUUGAGUGUGACUGUUUCACUGCUCUUUCUGGUGGCUUUCUGUGGUGAAGGUUAAUGGGAAAAUCAUUCUAAAGAUUGAAUUUCCUUGGAAAGAUUUGACGGAUGGGUACAAACAAACUGAGAAGCCAUGGGUGGUGAUCUGAACAGAUACGGGGUUUGACUCAGCAGGAGAACAUGCUGCUUUUAGCAGCCUCUGUGGAGACAGGGGCUUGUAAGGUCACUCUCAACCUUCCCAGAUAGAGCUCAGUACCCUGUUCUGAGGGAAACUGCAAAAGUGAAGGAAGAUAAGGACUAUUUUAAUGUCCAUUUAUCAGAUCUGACAGCUUCAGAGCCCUCAGUAAUUAUCUGUUAAUGAGAGCAAAUAAAUGUUACCUCUGGCCCCUCUAGUUCAGCGGUGUCACUCAGGUCACCUCGCAGGGGCUGGGAGGGGGGACAUCAGGAUUGACACUCCCUGGGACAGGAAAGAAGGGACAGUAGAAGGGAGGAGCAUGGAUUGGGAAGUGCAGAAGCCUCCAGCAUGGCCAGUGGUGGAUCCAUGGGGUGAGGAGGGGCUCCAUGUGCAGGGCUCUGUUGCAGCGACAGCAAGGUAAUAGAGGGAACGUCAGGUGCCCAGAAAGGAAUCCUGGUCUGUAGAAAGAAUCAAACCUAGAGAGACCAAGGAAUGUGAGACCCUCUACUUUAACUUUCGCUCUGGACACUUCUGUCCUAUUAUCAGUUGGGAUGUGAGCUGAACCGGGCUCCAGUGAUUUAUCUACAGUGACAGAGCUACAGUGCCUGAAAUGGAACAAGGAAGCUUAAUCUCUGCUUUUCUGCACAAGUUGGAAAUUUGGAAUCCCAGGUUUCCCUUUCCCCGUCAGGGGUUUGCACCACAUAGAGAAGUUUUUGGCAAAACCAAGUGUCCAGUUUAACAGCAGAAGACCUUUGAUGUGACAGGGAGGAUGUCAGCUCCUCAGGGAAAAACUGAGAGUGCUGUGCCCAGUUUGGUGAGUUCAAUGACAUUUUCAAGCCUUAGGAAACAAGUCUUGAGGAUCUUCUACCCAGUGCAACCACUACAUGUGUAUUUAAUAGCUAGGAUGAGUUGUUUUAGUACUGGAAGGUCUAUCCUGAAUCACAGUCCUGCUGUGGGACAGCACAGCCCUCUCCUUUCCCAGCCUUGCAGUCUCCUCUCACUCAGCUUUCUAACGUGGAGAAGUAGUAACUUUAAGUCUCACUGUUAAUUUACCUCAUCUGCAGUUUACAUGUGUGCAGGGGGAGGUAAUCACAGAGCUGCCUUCCCUGCUGUUCUCUUCCUGAGGUUUCACACUCUCCAAAUUUCUUUUUGUCAUAAAUCAAAUUAACUAAAUUGCUUAAGAAGUACUGUUCUAUUAAAAGCAGAUAGUGUUGUGAUGCCAAAAGGUUUAUUAGGAGAACUGUAUUUUUAAUAGUAAUACUUCGAGAUUACUGACUGCUAAGUCAGAGUUUCAAAGUUUAAAGACUGCUUAAAACUCCUGUGAAAUAAAUAUUUUGGUAGGUAUUUACAGAGGCCUACAGCAAGGUACAAAUGGAUGAAAACAUAUAAAUGUGGCUAAAAUAUUGGUUAUUUUAUUUGCUGAAGAUCCUUGGAUCCCCACACAAAGCUGUAGAGGUGCCUGAAGUCUUGGUAGUCCUGAGUGGGUUUGGGAAGCUCCUGAGGCAUAAAGAGUGAGCCCAGCUGGUGCAUCCAUGGACUCCUUCACAGGAUGCAGCGACGCACUUCAUGAACCAGCUUGUCCCCUUUAUUAGGAGCUGUUCCAGGAGGAAAGUGGUGUGGGAGAACAGCAAAAAAAAAGCAAGGCUCCCCCGUGUUUGAGUUUCCUUCCUGAUGGAAAAGCAGCAGCAGGGGAGGGUAAAGUCCCCUCCAUAUCCUGCUGUGUGUCCCAAAAGAAUGCACCACGCUGGGCUGGGCUCCUGGAGUGCUCAGGGGCGAGGUGGUGCUGGUACCAUGAGCACCUCUGAGCCUCGGGCAGCCACCCUGUGCUGCUGCUCUCUGCUCACUGCAAGGAUGGAGGCAGUGGGCAGAAAUGCUGCUUGAGUGCCCAGAAGGUACUUAUUUGCGAAUAUUUUUAAAUCCCAUUUGCCCUCCUCUCUUAAUUUGAAGGCUUAAGCUAAAUUCAUGGAAAGGCACAGAAUCUGUCCCUGUAAUACCCAUGAAGCAGAGACCCUCAGGUUCCUGGCAGCCGCAGAGCAGACCCUGGUGAGAACCACCCUGCCUGCACCUUGCCCAGUCCUGCACCCAAUUCUGCCUGUUAUGGAGCAGAGCAUCCCACCAGGAAGUGACCAAAAUCCCCACAGGAGGUUUGCUGCAGUGGUAACAGGUGAAAUUUCUAUUUUGCUGAGAGAUUUGCUGUGUGUCAGUGGGAGCUGCACAGCUGUGCACUGUUCUGCUGCGUCACCAAAAAUACAUCCUCUGCUGCAGCUGUGAUUUCCAGCUCAUGGUCUGUUGCCUCCUUAUUGUCUCCUGGCAAGGGAUAAUUUCAGUCCUGCCCUAGUACCUGUUCUCUUUCUGUACAUUAUCCUAGAUGAAAGAAAGAAGGCCCCUCUGCGAAGAUCUGGUGUUCUGCCUGUGGGGUUGAUGCUGAGGCUCCCGGGGCUGGCUGGACUCUUCUGGUGCCUCUGGACAAGGAACUGGCUGCUUGCCUGCUUGUGAGGACAAUAAAUAUUACCCUGUCCCAGCUUUGCUAGUCUGAAACACUGACAGGAAAGCUUUUCAGGUCAGAGUAUUUGAGAAACUCUAUAGAAAUGCUACAUUUAGGCUGUAAUUACUGAGUGCUGUCCCCGUGACUGGCUCUGGAGUCACCACGGAGGAGCUGCCAGCACUGUCAGGUAUCGAGGGUUAUUAUGGGCACCCCUGCAACAGCAGACUAAGAAAAUGUGAUGAGCUGGUCUCUCUGAGACAUGUAAAAAACAAGCAGGUAUUGCUUGUGUUGGACACAGGUGACUGGAGCUCCUUGCACCCUCUCAGUGCAGGACCAGGAGGGCUGGGUCUGCCCCGUGCCAAGUCCCCCUCUCGCCACAGAGAGCUGGGCACUCACACCCUCCCUGUGCUACAGUGAGUUUUCCCAGCACUGUGCAUUGCACUGCUCACACUGGCAUUGUGGGAUAAAAGGGAAUGAUGUGUGUGGAGCCUCCCUGCAAAAAGAGGUUUUUUCUCUUUUUUUUUUUUUUUUUUGCCUUUCUUUGCUAAAAGCAGGACUCUGCCCGCACUGCAGAGCAGGGGCAGCCAAGGCGAGUGCAGAAUCCAGUCCUCGUCCACAAGCACCAGCAUCCCCUCAGCUGGCAGUGGGCAUUCAGGGGACUCAGUGGCAGCAGCACGAGGUGAGGUUUUCUGUCUCAUCCUCUCCAGCCGCACAGGAAGUGUUGCUGUGGGCUGAGUUCUCCUUCCCUUUCGAUCAAGCUGUGACGUACCUCGCUUUGCCCUUUGGCUUUCCUUAGGUCACAGCAGCAGCUUCACGUGGUGUUUUUCUGGGCUCAGGUUUUGAUUGUAUCCUUUACCUGGAGUUUAUUUUUGCUCUCUAGAAAAAAGACCCGACUAAUUGAUGAUACCUGCACUCAGAAGCUGCACAUCCAAAUCCUGCUGUGGGAAACAGCCCCCUCCACAUGUGAGACUCCACAAACUGGUGUGGGAGUCAGGUCCAGAGACCCAAGUGCAAUUUUGCCAGUAGCUCCAGUCCCUGGCUUAGGUGAACCUGGUUUCUGUCACUCCAAAACACUGAGAGAGGUCCUGUUAAAGGAAGAUACACAAACCUGUGCCUACUGCCUUCCCUUGUUAGCCUUGCCUGAGGUGUCAGGAAUAUCACAAAGCAGGGGCUGGAGUUUCCCAAAGAGCUCCUCUUGGCUUUUGGGUAGAGCUGGAAGAAGUUUGCAGGAGAUGUGAGUAACUGUGUGUUGCUGACCUGCUUUUAUCAGAAAUGAACACAUAAAGGAAGAAGGAAAACGGACAGGUGGGGGAUGGAACAGGCUGAGAUUGAGCCCUCCUGACAAGAAACACCCCAAAGGCAGGCUGGCUGCCGGCCAGCCCUCUGCUCUGAGAGGCUCUUCCCACAGCACACACAGAUUAAAUACAAUUAAGAAAAAACAGUAUUAAAAGAAUAAGAACAAAAUAUAGAUUAUAUAAAAACUCUCCAGUACUGGGGCAUCAUCUGGCCACAGGGAGAAAUUUCCUGUACAGACCAGUCACUGUUUGUUACAGCCUCUACAACUGCAGCAGAAGAGCUUUUUAUUUGAAAGUUGAUACUAAAAAGCUUGGCAACAAUGAAGUGUGCACCUUCCUUUCCUAGUCCACAGUCAUUUCCUGUGAAAUACAAGGGCAAGUACAUAUAUGAAUAUUUAAUUUGACAGUGAUGAAGCUUUAUAUAUUAAGUCAGUGAAAAUGCUGUUAAAGCUCAUGGGAGCAAUACUACUUGUGUAGUGAGUUGGGAAUUUGGUACCCAGUGGCUACCAUUUAAUUUUGACAUGAAGCAUAAAGACAAACAUUAUUCCAACCUAUUGAAAGUGUUUUUGGGAAUGUGUUGUGCUCAAAUUGCAAAUUAAUUUUUAGUUUAUAGGUGAUAAUGGUUUAUCAAGGCUUUUCCCCAGGGGAAGCAGAAAUCACAGCAAUUCUUGUACAAAUUGUAUCCCAAAUUACAGAUCAGAAGUUAUUUAUUUUGCAAAUAGUGAGGUUAAAUCAAGAAGCCUUUUUUUUUCUACAUAUAGUAAAAUUUUCUUAUCAUAAUACACAUUAAUCUAAAAUUAUGAUAUUCCCAGUCCUUUAUAUGUGUGGUCUUUUUUUUAUAAGUCUUUAAUUUAGGCAGCCAUUUUCUGUUCAGUAAAAAAAAUGAAAUAAAGAGGGGACAUCCACUGCGGGCUUUCUCCUGGA